CAGUAGCCGCGGUAAUACAGAGGAUGCAAGCGUUAAUCGAAAUUACUGGGCGUAAAGCGUGCGCAGGCGGUUACAUAAGUCAGAUGUGAAAUCCCCGGGCUCAACCUGGGAACUGCAUUUGAGACUGUAUGGCUAGAGUGUGUCAGAGGGGGGUAGAAUUCCACGUGUAGCAGUGAAAUGCGUAGAUAUGUGGAGGAAUACCGAUGGCGAAGGCAGCCCCCUGGGAUAACACUGACGCUCAUGCACGAAAGCGUGGGGAGCAAACAGGAUUAGAUACCCCAGUAGUCCCUGUCUCUUAUAC
Molecule: ribosomal RNA, 301 nt
Filed under: uncultured bacterium
Lineage: Bacteria
Description: partial 16S ribosomal RNA
Rfam family: Bacterial small subunit ribosomal RNA
Source: RNAcentral